This 236-nucleotide ribosomal RNA is filed under the name uncultured bacterium. RNAcentral describes it as "partial 16S ribosomal RNA". It matches the Rfam family "Bacterial small subunit ribosomal RNA", at positions 1268 to 1500 of the family's 1533-position model. The record is from RNAcentral.
CAAAACUCAAAAACUUAGUCUCAGUUCGGAUUGUUAGGCUGAAACUCGCCUACAUGAAGCUGGAGUUGCUAGUAAUCGCGAAUCAGCAUGUCGCGGUGAAUACGUUCCCGGGCCUUGUACACACCGCCCGUCACACCAUGAGAGUUGGCAAUACCCAACGUACGUGAUCUAACCCGCAAGGGAGGAAGCGUCCUAAGGUAGGGUCAGCGAUUGGGGUGAAGUCGUAACAAGGUAAC